This 87-nucleotide transfer RNA is filed under the name Gammaproteobacteria bacterium. RNAcentral's name for it is "tRNA-Leu". It matches the Rfam family "tRNA". From Rfam's summary of the family: Transfer RNA (tRNA) molecules are approximately 80 nucleotides in length. Their secondary structure includes four short double-helical elements and three loops (D, anti-codon, and T loops). The record is from RNAcentral. Lineage: Bacteria; Pseudomonadati; Pseudomonadota; Gammaproteobacteria. RNAcentral also lists the same sequence under 3 other names.
GCCGGGGUGGCGGAACUGGUAGACGCGCCGGAUUCAAAAUCCGGUUCUGGCAACAGAGUGUGGGUUCGAUUCCCACCCUCGGCACCA